CCUACGGGUGGCAGCAGUGAGGAAUAUUGGUCAAUGGUCGGGAGACUGAACCAGCCAAGCCGCGUGAGGGAGGAAGGUACAGAGUAUCGUAAACCUCUUUUGUCAGGGAACAAAGAUUGGGACGCGUCCCCGGAUGAGUGUACCUGAAGAAAAAGCAUCGGCUAACUCCGUGCCAGCAGCCGCGGUAAUACGGGGGAUGCGAGGGUUUUCCGGAUUGAUUGGGUUAAAGGGGAGCGCAGGCGGCCUGGUCGGUCAGCGUGCAAACCCCGGGGCUCACCCCCGUCCCGCCGUUGAAACUGGCAGUCUCGAGUUGGAGAGAAGUAUGCGGAAUGCGCGGUGUAGCGGUGAAAUGCAUAGAUAUCGCGCAGAACUCCGAUUGCGAAGGCAGCAUGCCGGCUCCACACUGACGCUGAGGCACGAAAGCGUGGGUAUCGAACAGGAUUAGAUACCCUAGUAGUC
RNAcentral lists this ribosomal RNA (459 nucleotides) under uncultured bacterium. RNAcentral describes it as "partial 16S ribosomal RNA". It matches the Rfam family "Bacterial small subunit ribosomal RNA", at positions 338 to 795 of the family's 1533-position model. The record is from RNAcentral.